This 253-nucleotide ribosomal RNA is filed under the name uncultured bacterium. RNAcentral describes it as "partial 16S ribosomal RNA". It matches the Rfam family "Bacterial small subunit ribosomal RNA", at positions 524 to 776 of the family's 1533-position model. The record is from RNAcentral.
UACGGAGGGUGCAAGCGUUAUCCGGAUUCACUGGGUUUAAAGGGUGCGUAGGCGGGCUAAUAAGUCAGUGGUGAAAGCUCCCGGCCCAACCGGGAAAUUGCCAUUGAUACUGUUAGCCUUGAGUGCAGUUGAGGUGGGCGGAAUACAGCAUGUAGCGGUGAAAUGCUUAGAUAUGCUGUAGAACACCGAUUGCGAAGGCAGCUCACUAAACUGUAACUGACGCUGAGGCACGAAAGCGUGGGGAUCGAACAGG